CUUUUUCACUUCACUCAGCCGCUUCUCACCCUUUCUCUCUUUAAAAAUUUCUCUCUCUUAAAUCCCUAAACUACUCUCUAAUCUUUUUCAUCCCCUAAAUUCCUCUCUAAUCCUUGGAUUUUCAUCAAUCUAUACUUCCUGCUAAACACUUCACCUUCUUCUCAACAUCUACUUCAUCAUUUCAAGCAAGUUGCGGCUACUCAAAUCCAUCUUUCUUUACAGAGAGGAGAAGAUUCAUUCCACUAUGGAGGGUGGGCAUAACCAAGAGAAUUGAAGAUUUUAUUUAAAUCACUAUAGCUUUUGAAAUUCAAUUUGUAAUUUGUUAAGUAGACUACUUGGUUUGUAAUCUAUUAAGUAGUUUUGUUAGACAAUUUUGUUUGGGUUUGAAUCUCUGUUUUGCUUGAGAAUUUAAAAUGCAAUUGAAUGAACUGAAAAAAAAAAUAAUCUUUUGAAUGAAUAAAUCAGAUUGGCUGGGUUGAUCCAACCCAAAUAAA
This is a long non-coding RNA of Chenopodium quinoa (quinoa), 494 nucleotides long. RefSeq lists it as uncharacterized. The transcript has 2 exons. NCBI's taxonomy places the organism in Eukaryota, Viridiplantae, Streptophyta, Magnoliopsida, Caryophyllales, Amaranthaceae. The record is from RefSeq and is a predicted model, not a curated record.